RNAcentral lists this ribosomal RNA (528 nucleotides) under uncultured bacterium. RNAcentral describes it as "partial 16S ribosomal RNA". It matches the Rfam family "Bacterial small subunit ribosomal RNA", at positions 355 to 874 of the family's 1533-position model. The record is from RNAcentral.
UGGGGAAUAUUGCACAAUGGGCGCAAGCCUGAUGCAGCCAUGCCGCGUGUGUGAAGAAGGCCUUCGGUUGUAAAGCACUUUCAGCGAGGAGGAAGGUGGUGAACUUAAUACGUUCAUCAAUUGACGUUACUCGCAGAAGAAGCACCGGCUAACUCCGUGCCAGCAGCCGCGGUAAUACGGGAGGGUGCAAGCGUUAAUCGGAAUUACUGGGCGUAAAGCGCACGCAGGCGGUUUGUUAAGUCAGAUGUGAAAUCCCCGGGCUCAACCUGGGAACUGCAUUUGAAACUGGCAAGCUAGAGUCUCGUAGAGGGGGGUAGAAUUCCAGGUGUAGCGGUGAAAUGCGUAGAGAUCUGGAGGAAUACCGGUGGCGAAGGCGGCCCCCUGGACGAAGACUGACGCUCAGGUGCGAAAGCGUGGGGAGCAAACAGGAUUAGAUACCCUGGUAGUCCACGCUGUAAACGAUGUCGAUUUUGGAGGUUGUGCCCUUGAGGCGUGGCUUCCGGAGCUAACGCGUUAAAUCGACCGCCU